Long non-coding RNA from Mus musculus (house mouse), 291 nucleotides. RefSeq annotates it as predicted gene, 53667. The transcript has 3 exons. The record is from RefSeq and is a predicted model, not a curated record. NCBI's taxonomy places the organism in Eukaryota, Metazoa, Chordata, Mammalia, Rodentia, Muridae.
GGCACAGACCAUCCAACUUUCAUGGUGGAGCUGAGUGUAGUUUACAGGAUACGGCUUCUCCUGAGUGAGGUUAGAAGUUCUCUGAGAACAUGUCUCCAUCUUCCACGCUUCCACGUUGUCUACUUGCUCAUGUGAAGGAGAAUUCCUGACAAGAAGCUGUGUCUGCAGACGCUGAGUGAUGGAGUGUUGCAGACCUAGAGCCUAAUUACCUUGGGAUGCUGAAGCUACCUGGCUAGUCCUGCCUAUCUGAAAAAAAUGGAGGCCAUAAGAUCCCAAAUUGCCAUUCAAUCU